Molecule: ribosomal RNA, 258 nt
Filed under: uncultured bacterium
Lineage: Bacteria
Description: partial 16S ribosomal RNA
Rfam family: Bacterial small subunit ribosomal RNA
Source: RNAcentral
UACAGAGGUCCCGAGCGUUGUUCGGAUUCACUGGGCGUAAAGGGUGCGUAGGUGGUGAGGUAAGUCGGAUGUGAAAUCUCCGGGGCUCAACCCCGGAAACUGCAUUGGAAACUACCUUGCUUGAGGGUUUGAGGGGGGACUGGAAUUCUCGGUGUAGCAGUGAAAUGCGCAGAUAUCAGGAGGAACACCGAUGGCGAAGGCAGGUCUCUGGGCCGAUACUGACGCUGAGGAGCGAAAAGCGUUGGGGGAGCGAACAGG